AGGGUUUGAUUAUGGCUCAGGAUGAACGCUAGCGGCAGGCUUAACACAUGCAAGUCGAGGGGCAGCGCGGGGCGGCAACGUCCUGGCGGCGACCGGCGGAAGGGUGCGUAACGCGUGAGCGACAUGCCCGUUGCCCGGGGACAACCGGUGGAAACGCCGACUAAUCCCCGAUGGGAUAUUGUGCCGCAUGGCACGAUAUUGAAAGUUACGGCGGCGACGGAUUGGCUCGCGUCCGAUUAGCUGGUUGGCGGGGUAACGGCCCACCAAGGCUACGAUCGGUAGGGGUUCUGAGAGGAAGGCCCCCCACAAUGGGACUGAGACACGGCCCAU
This 330-nucleotide ribosomal RNA is filed under the name uncultured bacterium. RNAcentral's name for it is "bacterial SSU rRNA". It matches the Rfam family "Bacterial small subunit ribosomal RNA", at positions 8 to 334 of the family's 1533-position model. The record is from RNAcentral.